RNAcentral lists this ribosomal RNA (425 nucleotides) under uncultured bacterium. Its description in RNAcentral is "partial 16S ribosomal RNA". It matches the Rfam family "Bacterial small subunit ribosomal RNA", at positions 359 to 776 of the family's 1533-position model. The record is from RNAcentral.
GAAUUUUGGACAAUGGGCGCAAGCCUGAUCCAGCCAUUCCGCGUGAGUGAAGAAGGCCUUCGGGUUGUAAAACUCUCUCGGACGGAAAGAAAUCGCGCAGGCUCAUACCCUGACCGCAUGACCGUAGCGCUAUAAGAAGCACCCGCUAACUACGUGCCAGCAGCCGCGGGCAUACGUAGGGUGCGAGCGUUAAUCGGAAUUACUUGGCGUAAAGCGUGCGCAGGGUGUUGAUUAAGACAGGCGUGAAAUCCCCGGGCUUAACCUGGGAACUGCGCUUGUGACUGGUCAGCUAGAGUACGGCAGAGGGGGGUGGAAUUCCACGUGUAGCAGUGAAAUGCGUAGAGAUGUGGAGGGACACCGAUGGCGAAGGCAGCCCCCUGGGCCGAUACUGACGCUCAUACACGAAAGCGUGGGUAGCAAACAGG